This 482-nucleotide ribosomal RNA is filed under the name uncultured bacterium. RNAcentral describes it as "bacterial SSU rRNA". It matches the Rfam family "Bacterial small subunit ribosomal RNA", at positions 29 to 523 of the family's 1533-position model. The record is from RNAcentral.
AGCAAACGCUGGCGGCGUGCCUAAUACAUGCAAGUCGAACGAGGAAAGCUUUCGGGUGAGUACUAGUGGCGCACGGGUGAGUAACGCGUGGGUAAUCUACCAUCGAGUGGGGAAUAACUAAUCGAAAGAUUAGCUAAUACCGCAUAAGACCACAGAAGCUACGGCUUCAGAGGUCAAAGGAGCAAUUCGCUUGAUGAUGAGCCCGCGUCGGAUUAGCUAGUUGGUAGGGUAAUGGCCUACCAAGGCAGUGAUCCGUAGCUGGUCUGAGAGGAUGAUCAGCCACACUGGAACUGAGACACGGUCCAGACUCCUACGGGAGGCAGCAGUAGGGAAUAUUGCGCAAUGGGGGGAAACCCUGACGCAGCGACGCCGCGUGAGUGAUGAAGGCCUUCGGGUCGUAAAGCUCUGUUGCAAGGGAAUAAGAAAGUAGAAUGUACCUUGUGAGGAAGGAUCGGCUAACUUCGUGCCAGCAGCCGCGGUAA